UGUGACCUCAAAUCAGGUAGGACUACCCGCUGAACUUAAGCAUAUCAAUAAGCGGAGGAAAAGAAACUAACAAGGAUUCCCCUAGUAACUGCGAGUGAAGCGGGAAAAGCUCAAAUUUAAAAUCUGGCAGUCUUUUGGC
Molecule: ribosomal RNA, 139 nt
Filed under: Cortinarius fulvoisabellinus
Lineage: Eukaryota; Fungi; Basidiomycota; Agaricomycetes; Agaricales; Cortinariaceae
Description: partial 28S ribosomal RNA
Rfam family: Eukaryotic large subunit ribosomal RNA
Source: RNAcentral